UACGAAGGGGGCUAGCGUUGCUCGGAAUCACUGGGCGUAAAGCGCACGUAGGCGGCUUUUUAAGUCAGGGGUGAAAUCCUGGAGCUCAACUCCAGAACUGCCUUUGAUACUGGGGAUCUUGAGUCCGGGAGAGGUGAGUGGAACUGCGAGUGUAGAGGUGAAAUUCGUAGAUAUUCGCAAGAACACCAGUGGCGAAGGCGGCUCACUGGCCCGGUACUGACGCUGAGGUGCGAAAGCGUGGGGAGCAAACAGG
RNAcentral lists this ribosomal RNA (253 nucleotides) under uncultured bacterium. RNAcentral's name for it is "partial 16S ribosomal RNA". It matches the Rfam family "Bacterial small subunit ribosomal RNA", at positions 524 to 776 of the family's 1533-position model. The record is from RNAcentral.